GAUGAAGAACGCAGCGAAAUGCGAUAAGUAAUGUGAAUUGCAGAAUUCAGUGAAUCAUCGAAUCUUUGAACGCACAUUGCGCCCGCCAGUAUUCUGGCGGGCAUGCCUGUCUGAGCGUCAUUUCAACCCUCAUGCCCCUAGGGCGUGGUGUUGGGGAUCGGCCAAAGCCCGCGAGGGACGGCCGGCCCCUAAAUCUAGUGGCGGACCCGUCGUGGCCUCCUCUGCGAAGUAGUGAUAUUCCGCAUCGGAGAGCGAUGAGCCCCUGCCGUUAAACCCCCAACUUUCCAAGGUUGACCUCAGAUCAGGUAGGAAUACCCGCUCAACUUAAGCAUAUCAAUAAGCGGAGGA
Molecule: unclassified non-coding RNA, 348 nt
Filed under: soil metagenome
Description: partial contains 5.8S ribosomal RNA, internal transcribed spacer 2, and large subunit ribosomal RNA
Rfam family: 5.8S ribosomal RNA (bases 1-120)
Source: RNAcentral